UCGGAGAGACAUUGUUGAGGAUGAGGGAGACAUCGUCCUCGAUCAGAGACAUUGUCCACGAUCGCAGAGACCUUGUCAAAGACGAGAGAGACGUUGUCCAUGAUCAGAGACAUUGUCCCAUGCUUCGUAGAGACCUUGCGAUAGAAUCGGCGGAGACGGGGGUCACCGAUUUGACGGCAUUGCCCGCGAUCAUGGAGAUAUUGUCGAUGAUCACAGAGACGGCGUCUAUGAUCUCAGAGACAUCGUCCACGAUUGCAAAGACACUGGCCAUGAUCACAGAGACUUUGUCCAUAAUCUCAGAGACAUUGUCCGCGAUCACAGAGACGUAGUCCACGAUCACAGAGAGUCUUUGUACAAUGAAGAAGUUCUUUGAGACCAGGACAGAGGCCUCCAGGUGUCACCACUAUGUCCGCAACAUCGUCCACGAUCGCAGAGACAUGGUCCAUGAUCGGAGAGACAUUGUUGAGGAUGAGGGAGACAUCGUCCUCGAUCAGAGACAUUGUCCACGAUCGCAGAGACCUUGUCAAAGACGAGAGAGACGUUGUCCAUGAUCAGAGACAUUGUCCCAUGCUUCGUAGAGACCUUGCGAUAGAAUCGGCGGAGACGGGGGUCACCGAUUUGACGGCAUUGCCCGCGAUCAUGGAGACAUUGUCGAUGAUCACAGAGACAGCGUCUAUGAUCUCAGAGACAUCGUCCACGAUUGCAAAGACACUGGCCAUGAUCACAGAGACUUUGUCCAUAAUCUCAGAGACAUUGUCCGCGAUCACAGAGACGUAGUCCACGAUCACAGAGAGUCUUUGUACAAUGAAGAAGUUCUUUGAAACCAGGACAGAGGCCUCCAGGAGGAGAAGACGACAGCAGCUGAAGACCUGAAGUGGAUGAAAGAAAACAGAAGUGGUAUGAGGCUGUUAAUUAGAUAAAAGACCUCUACCAUCUAACUGCUGUAAACAGUGUUGGUUUCCUGUUGUUCAAUUGAACACAGUUUUUCUCUGUCAUCUGUAAUGUAGUCAUGGGCUUAUGAUACAACUAUUUAAUAAUUCUAUCACAAAUAGUUAAAUCAUCACAAAGUUACUUCGUAGAUAUGCUCAUCUUUGGAAAAUGCGCUCAUAACUAAAUUAACCCUCACUCUAACCAGCUCUAACAAGUGUUUCCUUGUGCUCAAAUGUCUGUCAUUAUCUUUGCUGUGAUUUGUUAAAUG
This is a long non-coding RNA of Lates calcarifer (barramundi perch), 1198 nucleotides long. RefSeq lists it as uncharacterized. The transcript has 3 exons. Lineage: Eukaryota; Metazoa; Chordata; Actinopteri; Centropomidae. The record is from RefSeq and is a predicted model, not a curated record.